UUUUCUCAGAUCACCCCCAAGGCAGAUUUUUAAAUCAAUACAAUAAAGUGAGAGUGAACACUUUUUCAACUAUCACAAACCACACUCUAAAUAAACCCGUUCUUCCUGGUAAGCAGCCUGGAGCUUGUAUGAAAAAUCUGCCUUGCUCCUUGAGGGCUUGCAGGGGGUGCUGGGCUAAGGGAGGCGCCCUGGCAGUGUGGCCUCUCCUACACUAUGGCGGCUUCCCUGUUGUUUUGGUGGGAUGCUGGUUUAGGUAUCUUUGAAACAAUCAAAAUUCAGGGAUCAGAAAGAAGGUGAUGAUGUGGUUUCCAGUGCCCAAGAUUAUGUCGAACUAGAGAGAGCGAGCAACUGCCUCCUCUCUUGGCUGGUCCAAUGGUGUACCUCCGUUUCUUACCCAAUAAGCUAUGACUAGACUCUCAACAAGGCUUAGAGCUUAGGUCUCAGUCUCUCUUCCCGUUCUUUCUCUUUUCCCUCUUUCUACUUAUUUCUCUUCCUCCUCUUUCUUCAUUCCCCUGUUGCUUCAGCCUUUGAGGAUAUGAAGGGGAUUGUUCUUCAGACUAAAUUAUCUGUCCCAUCUGUGCAUGUUGAUAGGCACAUAUAUUCCUUUAGCUGACUUAGGCCCAGAGAGCUCACAGCAAGGCCUUUACGUCCCAUGCUGGACUCCUGAGGACCCUGUAAGGGCUUUGUUGGGGUUUAAAACACAAGGCAUAGAGAGAGAUGGGAUGUAAGACAACCCCUUCCACAGGUCACAGUGAAUGCACAAGAGUCUCCUGUGUUGCUAUCUGAGCUCACGACCUUCAGAACACUUCCCUAAUCAAACAGUCUGAACUUCCGUGGAGUGCCCGCCCCAAGAGGAAUGUUGGCAGUGAACGCGCUCUUAAUGCUUUCUUCAGAAGUUCUCUUUUCCCCCUUGACUCUUUAUAUGUUUAUUUUAUUUUUAGCAAUCUGUUCGCUUGAUAUCACUGUGCCAAAGAUUAUCCAGGUCAUUUUUGUCCAGAAGUAACAUGAGUGUCGCCAGGAGUGAUGAUACUCUGGUAAGCGUUCCUGUUUGCCUUGGCUAGCUUCUCUGAGCAGCACUGUGUUUAGAGUUUACAUUGUUGUGUUUGUGCAUUAACCCAGAAAGUCCCACAGCACGGGGAUGUUAGACUUACCCUUACUCCGAGAUGGGCUAACACUGUGCCCAGUCCUGCCUUUCCUCCUUGGAGGAUUUUGAUUUGCUUUACUUGGCAUUCUCUCAGCCACCAUCCCUACUGUUUUUAACACUGCUCCUUCCCUAAGCACUUGUACACACACACACACACACACACACACACACACACACACACACACUUAAAAAGAGGGUAACCAGUGGAUGAUGAAAGAGCUCCCACUAAUUCUCAUGACUGCACAUAAGAACACUGAUUGCCACCAUUAGGAAGCUGUAGAGUCAAAGUGAUGUGAAAGGACAGACAGCCCUCACCCGCUUUCUCCACCAACACCGAGGAAAGCACAGUGCUACUGUCUCAUGGUAGACCAGAAGGCCAUAUACACUUAGUUUAUUGACAUCAUCCUGACUGUCCAAAGCCCUUGGGAAUGGCAUCACAGUUUUCCCUAAGUCCAAGCUGAAACCCAAUCACUGAUGAGCUCUUCAGAUACAGCUAGACACCUCUCCCUUCAUCGAGACUUUCCCCAGCCAGUCACAAACAGGGCUUUGUUCACUGAAGGUGAAGGAGACUCCGGGAAAAGCAGACACAGUGGUUCUGUGGGAACCACCCUGGCCUGUAACCUAAUAGUCGGUAUUUCCUGGGUAGAGCUAGGAACUCCUAGGGCAGGGAUCACAUGACAGCAGACACUGGCUCUUCUUUUCUCCUGAAGCUACUCUCUGUAAUAGUGUUACAGCUCUAGUCUACAACUGUAGAGUAAAAGGAGGAAGAAGAUAUGUCCAUGAGUAUACACAUACACACACACACACACACACACACACACACACACACACACACACACACACACACACACAUGCACGCACGAAGGAAAGCUAAAGAAAAGGAACUUAUGAAGAGAUGGGAAGGAAGAAUUCCCCUUUGGAAGGGUGUGAGGUUGUUAAGGGAGCCAGGGGAAAAUGGCAAUGUAGGUCUGACUGUGGGAUGCUGUUGGAUGCUGUAAUGGGAAGUAACUGAAGCUCAUGAAUCAGCAUUCUUAACAGCCCUUGGUCACAAUAAAAGCUCGAGUAGGAGCCUUGGAGAGAAAGUCUCCUCUCUUCUGCUGACUAGGGGUGCUGUAGUCUGUCUGUCUUCUUUCCCUCCACCAAGAUUCAUUCCACUUUUCUACCACAGUGGCCCCUAGUCAUUAGCCUGGACUAUGAAAGAAAACCAAACUUAUGCCUUGGUUCACUGAUGUCCUUUGCCAGUGUUGCCAAAGUCCUCCUGGAAUUUGGAUUUAGAAGGAAUUCAAAGAAAUGCUUUUCCGUUCUGCUCUCACAGGCGUUGACAUUUCAGGAGCUGUCCCUCUGUAUUUUGGGGGGACUUUUCUAGUUCCUUAGUUGUAAGGUAUCAUGUUUUGGAAGCAUCUUGUAAGAAAUGAUGAUGAGUCAACAAAAAGAACAAACUUAUUCAUCAUUCCAAGUUUUCUUGGAGAUUAGAAAUAUAUCCAUUGUCUCUUCUUUUAGGACACACACACACACACCUACACACACACACACACACACACACACACUCACCAUUCAGAGAAUUUUGCCUUCCUAUUUUAGACCUAGAGAAAGAAGACAUUCACAUGUC
RNAcentral lists this long non-coding RNA (2753 nucleotides) under Mus musculus (house mouse). RNAcentral's name for it is "long non-coding RNA chr13:60722078-60724831". Lineage: Eukaryota; Metazoa; Chordata; Mammalia; Rodentia; Muridae. The record is from RNAcentral.